UUCUUUCUUGACAGGGGCAGGAAGGCUGGACAGGAUGCUAUGAUUGCCACGAAUCUUAUAAACUACCCAAGAGAUGCAUGCUGAGCUGGUGCUAGCUGGAGGUCAGACUUGCCUAUCCCAUGGCAGCUCCCAGGUAUGGCCAAUCAGAAGAUUAAAUACACAGUCUGUGGAAUUGGAACUGCCCAGAUACUGUCAGCUCCAGCAUGUAAAGAAAUUGGAAGUCAUCACUCUAUUCUUUACAACCAGAAGGAAAGCUAAACAAAUGGAAAAUCAAGGAUAUUUCUUCAAUCCAGCAGAGAAUUAAGAUCACAGAGAAAACUAACACCCCAAAAUUUGGAGAGAGAGCAAAUACAAGAAUCACAGGUAAGAUUAGAACAGGAACAGAAGCCACUGCACUCAGUAACUGGUAGGAACACUUAAAUGACAAUUUUGAUGAAUUGCUGGAGGCAGAGUAUGUACUAGCAGAAUACUUAAAUAUGCCUAGGGGACCCAAUCUUAGUGGUCUCCUACAUUUAUAUGGAUUUGCAACCAGAACCCCUAUAAGGUUCUCACAGUGAGGAUUAGAGAAAAAUUGCCUUGUGUUGCAGGCAGGAAGAAAAGGAAAAACUAUUUUGAAACACACCUAGGGAAAAAGAAAUCAUUUUGAAAUAUUCUCAGGGAAUUCUCCAUAACAAUAGCUUGCCCUCUAAGGUAAGGUACUUUACCAAAGGCAAUUAGACAAUUUCAUACGCUUCUAGCCUUCUUGUCUCAUGCAAGGGAGGAAACAAAAGGGCUAAGAAAUGUCUCUGAAGUUCACAGCUCAGGAACUCAGGUCCACUGAAAAACUGAGAUUUAAUCAUAAGGAUAUAAAAUGCUUCUCAUUCCCAACAGCUUACAAUUAAAUGAACAAGCCUCCAGCAUAAUAACAGUGGAUUAUAACUGAGAACAGCAAGACACAGACUGAAUUUAUGAUGAAGGUCUUAGGGAAACCCAAAGACAACAGGGGAGGAAAAAAAAAAACCCACCAAAAUGAGAGGAUACUGAAACCUCUAGAGCAGGGGUCCUCAAACUUUUUAAACAGGGGGCCAGUUCACUGUCCCUCAGAAUGUUGAAGAGUAUGCACUGUGGGCCCGGAUGAUUUGGUUGGCUGCUAAGCAGGACAGGCAGCGGUGGCAAAAACACCCAGCAGGCGGGAUAAAUGUCCUAGGCAGGCGGCAUGUGGCCCUGGGGGCUGUAGUUUGAGGACGCCUGCUCUAGAGCCUGAAACUAUAGCAAACAACAAAAACAUUACAACUUCUUGCCAAAUUAACAUAAAACCUUAAACUAAAAGUCUAAUUAACCUCAUUUUCUAUUACCCAAUACAUCAUGCCCACUUUCAACAAAAAAUUGCAGAGCAUGCCAAAAGGCAAGGAAAAACAGUCUGUAGAGGUAAAGCAAGCAGCAACCUCAGCUAUGAGACAGAUUUGGAAUCAUUGGAUAGGGAAAUUAAGAUAACUAUGAUUAAUACAAGGGGGUUUCAAAGAGUUCAUGAAAAAUGCUUAUUAUGAAAAAUCUAUGCAUGGAUAUAAUUUUUUCAGUGCCAAAAAAUUUAGUACUAACUUGUGAUAAAAUGUUGGAACGGGAUCUAGUUUGAGACACUGAGAAAAAAGACAUCAAUUUGAAAGAGCCCCUAAGACAGCAACAUGAAUUUUGCUAAAUUUAAAGCAAGAAAAAACAUCAAAUUUAUGGCAAAGUUUGGGUGGAGGAACUGUGGAAUCAUUGAUUCUUUAUGAAAAGUUUAUGGGGACAAUAUCCCAAAGAAAUCAGCAGUUUACAAAUGGAUAACUCAUUGUAAGAAUGGACAAGAUGAUGUUGAAGAUGAAGCCCACAGCAGCAGACCAUCCACAACAAUUUGUGAGGAAAAACAUUAAUCUUGCUCAUGCCAUACUUGAAGGGGACUAACAAUUAACAGCAGAAACAAUAGCAAACAUUAUACACCUAUCAGUUGAUUCAGCUUACACAAUUCUGACUGAAAAAUUAAAGUUUAGCCAAUUUUUCACUCAAUGGAUUCCAAAACUAUUGCACCCAGAUCAGCUGCAGAUAAGAGCAGAACAUUCAAUGGAAAUCUUAAACAAGUGUGAUCAAGAUUUUGAAGCAUUACUUUGAAGAAUUAUAACAGGAGAUAAAACAUGGCUUUAUCAGCACUAUCCUGAAGAUAAAGCACAAUCAAAGCAAGGGCUACCAAGAGAUAGAAAUAGUCCAGUUAAAGUAGAAGGAGAUUGGUUAGGAGGAAAGGUCAUGGCAAUAGUUUUUUGAGAUACUCAAGUUACUUUGCUUGUUGACUUUUUGGAAGGCCAAAGAAUGAUCACAUUUGCUUAUUGUGAUAAUGCUUUGAGAAAGUUAGCCAAAAAUUUAGCAGAAAAAUGUCCAGGAAAUCUUCACCAGAGGGUUCUUCUUCACCACAAUGUUUCUGCUAAUUCCUUUCAUUAAAUACAGGCAAAUUCUCAGGAGUUUCAAUGGGAGAUUAUUACGGAUCCACCUUACAGUCCUUAUUUGGCUCCUUCUGACUUCUUUUUGUUUCCUAAUCUUAAAAAAUCUAUAAUGGGA
Long non-coding RNA from Microcebus murinus (gray mouse lemur), 2565 nucleotides. NCBI's taxonomy places the organism in Eukaryota, Metazoa, Chordata, Mammalia, Primates, Cheirogaleidae. The record is from Ensembl.